This is a non-coding RNA of Paramuricea clavata, 244 nucleotides long. NCBI's taxonomy places the organism in Eukaryota, Metazoa, Cnidaria, Anthozoa, Malacalcyonacea, Plexauridae. The record is from the annotation of a GenBank genome assembly.
CAAAAGCGGAAAGAGGUUAAUAAAAUCAUCCAUUCAUUCGCCAAAUCGCGAAACUGGCAAAUAAUUUCGCAUGAAAAUAUAGACUCGAACUGUCUAAACAAAAGGAAAUUACAUCUUAAUCCGCGUGGAACAAUCAGCUUAGCAAAAAAUUUUAAAAACUAUUUGUCUAAUUUAAAUAAUUGAGAUAGAGAUAGAAGCGAUGAUGUUUAUAUGGCUGACAAACUUGAUCUCCCACAGGUAAGAG